GAUGAACGCUAGCUACAGGCUUAACACAUGCAAGUCGAGGGGCAGCAUGAUCUUAGCUUGCUAAGAUUGAUGGCGACCGGCGCACGGGUGAGUAACGCGUAUCCAACCUUCCCCUUAGUAGGGCAUAGCCCGGCGAAAGUCGGAUUAAUACCCUAUGUAUUCCUUUGAGAGCAUUUGAUUGGGAACAAAGAUUUAUCGCUAAGGGAUGGGGAUGCGUCUGAUUAGCUUGUUGGCGGGGUAACGGCCCACCAAGGCGACGAUCAGUAGGGGUUCUGAGAGGAAGGUCCCCCACAUUGGAACUGAGACACGGUCCAAACUCC
This 320-nucleotide ribosomal RNA is filed under the name uncultured Prevotella sp. RNAcentral's name for it is "bacterial SSU rRNA". It matches the Rfam family "Bacterial small subunit ribosomal RNA", at positions 28 to 339 of the family's 1533-position model. Lineage: Bacteria; Pseudomonadati; Bacteroidota; Bacteroidia; Bacteroidales; Prevotellaceae. The record is from RNAcentral.